ACGGGAGGCAGCAGUGGGGAAUAUUGCACAAUGGGCGCAAGCCUGAUGCAGCAACGCCGCGUGAGCGAUGAAGGUCUUCGGAUCGUAAAGCUCUGUCCUUGAGGACGAAUAAUGACGGUACUCUUGGAGGAAGCAACGGCUAACUAAGUGCAAGCAGCAGCGGUAAUACGUAGGGGGCGAGCGUUAUCCGGAAUUAUUGGGCGUAAAGAGUACGUAGGUGGUUUUGUAAGCGUAGGGUGAAAGCCCGGGGCUUAACUCCGGUUAGCCCUACGAACUGCAAGACUUGAGUGCAGGAGGGGAAAGUGGAAUUCCUAGUGUAGCGGUGAAAUGCGUAGAUAUUAGGAGGAACACCAGUGGCGAAGGCGGCUUACUGGACUGUAACUGACGUUGAGGCUCGAAAGCGUGGGGAGCAAACAGGAUUAGAUACCCUGGUA
RNAcentral lists this ribosomal RNA (434 nucleotides) under uncultured Anaerovorax sp. RNAcentral's name for it is "partial 16S ribosomal RNA". It matches the Rfam family "Bacterial small subunit ribosomal RNA", at positions 341 to 792 of the family's 1533-position model. Lineage: Bacteria; Bacillati; Bacillota; Clostridia; Peptostreptococcales; Anaerovoracaceae. The record is from RNAcentral.